GGUUCGAUUAUGCCCGAUUGAACGCUGGCGGGAUGCUUUACACAUGCAAGUCGAACGGCAGCACGACUUCGGUCUGGUGGGCGAGUGGCGAACGGGUGAGUAAUGUAUCGGAACGUGCCUAGUAGCGGGGAUAACUACGCGAAAGCGUAUUAAUACCGCAUACGCCCUUCGGGGAAAGCGGGGACCUUCGGGCCUCGCACUAUUAGAGCGGCCGAUAUCGGAUUAGCUAGUUGGUGGGGUAACGGCUCACCAAGGCGACGAUCCGUAGCUGGUUUGAGAGGACGACCAGCCACACUGGGACUGAGACACGGCCCAGACUCCUACGGGAGGCAGCGGUGGGGAAUUUGACAAUGGGGGAAACCUGAUCCAGCCAUCCCGCGUGUGCGAUGAAGGCCUUCGGGUUGUAAAGCACUUUUUGGCAGGAAAGAAAACGGCACGGGAUAAUACCCCGUGCAACUGACGGUACCUGCAGAAUAAGCACCGGCUAACUACGUGCCAGCAGCCGCGGUAACAUGUAGGGUGCAAGCGUUAAUCGGAAUUACUGGGCGUAAAGCGUGCGCAGGCGGUUCGGAAAGCAAAGAUGUGAAAUCCCAGGAGCUUAACUUUGGAACUGCAUUUUUAACUACUGAGCUAGAGUGUGUCAGAGGGAGGUGGAAUUCCGCGUGUAGCAGUGAAAUGCGUAGAUAUGCGGAGGAACAUCGAUGGCGAAGGCAGCCUCCUGGGAUAACACUGACGCUCAUGCACGAAAGCGUGGGGAGCAAACAGGAUUAGAUACCCUGGCAGUCCACGCCCUAAACGAUGUCAACUAGCUGUUGGGGCCUUCGGGCCUUGGUAGCGCAGCGCUAACGCGUGAAUACCCACCGGGGAGGACAACGCAAGACAACUCAAGUGAAUUGAUUGGGAUCCGCACAGUUGUGGAUGAUGGAUUACUUUCGAUGUACGCGAAAACCCCGCACUUGACUUGACAGCAAUCUGAACCCAAGAGGUCGAGCCGUAAGAGAACCGGAACCCAAGGUUGCUACAUGUGCCGCCUUGCCCAGUCAGAGAUGUUGGUUGUCCCACAUGCGCCUUUACAGCUAUGCGAAAAAAACCUUAGUUAGAGACUGCCGGUGACAACCGUGAGGAAGGUGGAUGACGUCAGUAUCCCGCUGCCUUAUGGCUUCAUCACCGUCACACACGCGGUCGGGACAGAGGGUCGCCAACCCGCGAGGGGGAGCCAAUCCCAGAAACCCGAUCGUAGUCCGGAUCGCAGUCUGCAACUCGACUGCGUGAAGUCGGAAUCGCUAGUAAUCGCGGAUCAGCAUGUCGCGGUGAACACGUUCCCGGGUCUGUACACACCGCCCGUCACACCAUGGGAGGUUUUACCAGAAGUAGUUAGCCUAACCGUAAGGAGGGCGGACAACACGGUAGGAUUCAUGACUGGGUGAAGUCGUAACAAGGUAG
Molecule: ribosomal RNA, 1443 nt
Filed under: uncultured Bordetella sp.
Lineage: Bacteria; Pseudomonadati; Pseudomonadota; Betaproteobacteria; Burkholderiales; Alcaligenaceae
Description: partial 16S-23S ribosomal RNA intergenic spacer
Rfam family: Bacterial small subunit ribosomal RNA
Source: RNAcentral